GAUGAACGCUGGCGGCGUGCCUAAUACAUGCAAGUCGAGCGAACGGACGAGAAGCUUGCUUCUCUGAUGUUAGCGGCGGACGGGUGAGUAACACGUGGAUAACCUACCUAUAAGACUGGGAUAACUUCGGGAAACCGGAUCUAAUACCGGAUGAUAUUUUGAACCGCAUGGUUCAAAAGUGAAAGACGGUCUUGCUGUCACUUAUAGAUGGAUCCGCGCUGCAUUAGCUAGUUGGUAGGGUAACGGCUUACCAAGGCAACGAUGCAUAGCCGACCUGAGAGGGGGAUCGGCCACACUGGAACUGAGACACGGUCCAGACUCCUACGGGAGGCAGCAGUAGGGAAUCUUCCGCAAUGGGCGAAAGCCUGACGGAGCAACGCCGCGUGAGUGAUGAAGGUCUUCGGAUCGUAAAACUCUGUUAUUAGGGAAGAACAUAUGUGUAAGUAACUGUGCACAUCUUGACGGUACCUAAUCAGAAAGCCCCGGCUAACUACGUG
RNAcentral lists this ribosomal RNA (497 nucleotides) under uncultured bacterium. Its description in RNAcentral is "partial 16S ribosomal RNA". It matches the Rfam family "Bacterial small subunit ribosomal RNA", at positions 28 to 507 of the family's 1533-position model. The record is from RNAcentral.